This is a long non-coding RNA of Ipomoea nil (Japanese morning glory), 99 nucleotides long. RefSeq lists it as uncharacterized. Lineage: Eukaryota; Viridiplantae; Streptophyta; Magnoliopsida; Solanales; Convolvulaceae. The record is from RefSeq and is a predicted model, not a curated record. The transcript is spliced from 3 exons.
ACCCUAUCACCUCAUUGCACUGCUGGAAAUCAAGAAAUUUUUGACCACUUCAAAGUGAUCUUAAAUCAAGUCAGAAGCCCUUGUUCUGACCACUUUGGG